Molecule: unclassified non-coding RNA, 451 nt
Filed under: Hevea brasiliensis (rubber tree)
Lineage: Eukaryota; Viridiplantae; Streptophyta; Magnoliopsida; Malpighiales; Euphorbiaceae
Source: RNAcentral
GGAAAAUCUAACUGAUUUAUGACGCCAAACAACUUUAGAGUCACAUUUGAAUUGGCCGGGAAGUGAUACAUUCCUUUGGCUAAAAUGAAACGAAGACAUUUUAAUGCCAUAACUUGCAGGCGCAAACCUCUGUCCUUAGUCAAAAAUGAGGAAAGCAAUUCCACCUUAUUUAUUUUUUGAGAUAAACAUAUUGUCUGGGCCAGCUUGUGCCUUGCGCGUAGCCCAACAAAUUUCACAGGGCACCUCCUACCUUCCACCAGCACAUCCCCCAUGGCUUGGACAAAUGGGAAGAAAUCACCCAGAGCCAUUUGGUAGCUUGUUAGGACAAAUAUUUUACAUGUAUUAGAUCCUGUCUAGGAAUUAAAGGUGUCCACUUAGAAGCAAUUUCGGAAAGUGAAACUAGCAUCACCAAAGAGAAUUCUUCUUCCGAAGAUUCUAGGAUAAGCUUCAC